RNAcentral lists this long non-coding RNA (352 nucleotides) under Carica papaya (papaya). RNAcentral's name for it is "long non-coding RNA (CPAP_LNC003512)". Lineage: Eukaryota; Viridiplantae; Streptophyta; Magnoliopsida; Brassicales; Caricaceae. The record is from RNAcentral.
GUUUGGGGUUGGGUGUGGAUGCGAUUAUUUAUAACCCUCCCCUUUUAAUCUGAGCCGUCCAUCAUGAUUUAAUCUGGGCCGUCCGAUCGCGAUUCAAUUGGAAAUAAAUCUGGGCCGUCCGCACGCGCGAGAUCUGGCCCGUCCACGCGCGCCUUUGAUCUGGGCCGUUCGUGCGCGCGGGAACGGAUCUGGACCGUUCGAUCGUGCGCACGCAGAUCGCCAACGUGUCUCCAUCCCGCAUGGCUUCCCGCGUCAGUGUCCCUGCCACGCAGCGUGUCCUUAUUUGCCGAGGCUGCUGACCGAGCUGCUGACGUGGCAUUAUUUUUCUAAAUCGAGUUUUGACCCCCGAUUU